AACGAACGCUGGCGGCAGGCUUAACACAUGCAAGUCGAACGCCCCGCAAGGGGAGUGGCAGACGGGUGAGUAACGCGUGGGAAUCUACCGUACCCUACGGAACAACAGUUGGAAACGACUGCUAAUACCGUAUACGCCCUUAGGGGGAAAGAUUUAUCGGGGUAUGAUGAGCCCGCGUUGGAUUAGCUAGUUGGUGGGGUAAAGGCCUACCAAGGCGACGAUCCAUAGCUGGUCUGAGAGGAUGAUCAGCCACAUUGGGACUGAGACACGGCCCAAAAUCCUACGGGAGGCAGCAGUGGGGAAUAUUGGACAAUGGGCGCAAGCCUGAUCCAGCCAUGCCGUGUGAGUGAUGAAGGUCUUAGGAUUGUAAAGCUCUUUCACCGAUGAAGAUAAUGACGGUAGUCGGAGAAGAAGCCCCGGCUAACUUCGUGCCAGCCGCCGCGGUAA
RNAcentral lists this ribosomal RNA (447 nucleotides) under uncultured bacterium. Its description in RNAcentral is "partial 16S ribosomal RNA". It matches the Rfam family "Bacterial small subunit ribosomal RNA", at positions 29 to 523 of the family's 1533-position model. The record is from RNAcentral.